GCACAAGCGGUGGAGCAUGUGGUUCAAUUCGACGCAACGCGAAGAACCUUACCUGGGCUUGACAUCCCGAGAAUCCCGCAGAAACGUGGGAGUGCCCUUCGGGGAACUCGGUGACAGGUGCUGCAUGGCUGUCGUCAGCUCGUGUCGUGAGAUGUUGGGUUAAGUCCCGCAACGAGCGCAACCCUUGCCUUUAGUUGCCAGCAUUCAGUUGGGAACUCUGGCGAGACUGCCGGUAAUAAACCGGAGGAAGGUGGGGAUGACGUCAAAUCAUCAUGCCCCUUAUGACCUGGGCUACACACGUGCUACAAUGGUUGGUACAACGAGUUGCGAGUCGGUGACGGCGAGCUAAUCUCUUAAAGCCAAUCUCAGUUCGGAUUGUAGGCUGCAACUCGCCUACAUGAAGUCGGAAUCGCUAGUAAUCGCGGAUCAGCACGCCGCGGUGAAUACGUUCCCGGGCCUU
This 460-nucleotide ribosomal RNA is filed under the name uncultured Smithella sp. RNAcentral's name for it is "bacterial SSU rRNA". It matches the Rfam family "Bacterial small subunit ribosomal RNA", at positions 923 to 1382 of the family's 1533-position model. The record is from RNAcentral. Lineage: Bacteria; Pseudomonadati; Thermodesulfobacteriota; Syntrophia; Syntrophales; Smithellaceae.